Molecule: long non-coding RNA, 1999 nt
Filed under: Sus scrofa (pig)
Lineage: Eukaryota; Metazoa; Chordata; Mammalia; Artiodactyla; Suidae
Description: lncRNA (ENSSSCG00035028064.1)
Source: RNAcentral
UUUUUUGUUGGAUGAUCUCCUGUUAUUAUCUGCUUGAGUGUAAUUUUUUUUCAUUUUUUUGCAAAUGCAAUAUUUGGUUUUGGCUUGUGGUUGCCCUGUUUUUUAAGUAUGCUAACCCCUUCCCAUAAUUGUGUGUUUUAGCCUGAUGGUCCUGUAAGUUCAAACACUUCAUUACUAUAUUAAAAUUAAGAAGAGAAACAUACAAACAAACAAAAAGGGUUAUUUACUUCCUAACAUCCCUUGCCCACAUUUUAUGGUUUUGAUGACUCUUUUUUAUUUUUUUCUUUUUAAUUUUAUUUUGUUUGAAGCAUGUUCAUGAUUAAAUCUGUAUGCUGGCUUAUUUGAGUGACUGCUCUCUGAUUGCGGUUUCCUCAGUCCUAGUUCUUCCUCUUCUUCUUCUUCUUUUUUUUUUUUUUUUUUUUUCUUUUUUCUUCCCUUUCCUUCCUUUCUUUUUGGUUUAGAGAAGCCCUUUCAAUAUUUCCUUUAACCUGGGUUUUGUGUUGCUGUAUUCUUUAAGUUUUUGUUUGUUGGGAAAAAUUUUUAUUUCCCCUUCUAUUUUAAAUGAUAUUCUUGCUGGAUAGAGUAUUCUAGGUUGCAUAUUUUUUCCUUUGAGCACUUUAAAUAUCUCUUGCCAUUCCCUCCUGGCCUGUAGUGUUUCUGUAGAGAAAUCAGCUGAUAUUCUUAUGGGGGUUCCCUUGUAGGUAACAUUCUGUUUUUCUCUUGCUGCCUUUAGGAUCCUCUCUUUAUCACUAACUUUUGCCAUUUUUAUUAUGAUGUGUCUUGGUGUGGGUCUGUUUGGGUUCAGUUUGUUUGGGGCCCUCUGUGCUUCUUGUAUCUUGAAUCCAGUAUCCUUUAGAUUUGGGAAGUUUCCAGCGAUAAUUUCUUCAAAUAUAUUUUCCAUUCCCUUAUCUUUUUCUACUCCUUCUGGAAUUCCUAUUAUGCGUAGAUUGGCCCGCUUUAUAUUAUCCCAUAGGUCUCUUAUAUUGCUUUCCAGUUUUUUGAUUCGGUUUUCUGUCUGUUGACCAGAUUGAGUGAUUUCCAUUAUUCUAUCUUCCAUAUCACUGAUUCGUUCUUCUGCAUUAUUCAUUCUGGUUUUUACUGCCCCUAGUUCAGUUUGCAUCUCUGCAAAUGAAUGUUCUAGUUUUUCUUGGCUCCUCCUUAUAUUUUCUAGUUCCUUUCUGAGGGUAUCUGCAUUACUGUUCAUAUCUUCUCUUAAUUCCUUCAGUAUUUUCACUAUUUCUCUUUUGAACUCCAGGUCUGUCUGACUGCAGAGAUCUGUUUCAUUGUUGACUGUUUUAGGUGAGUUCUCCUGUUGGUUUGACUGGGGGUGGUUUCUCAGCUUCUUCAUCUUGCUUGUUGUUUUCUUUCUCCUGAGGGAGUUGUACUCUCCGUUAUCGGGCAGUGUUUGCCUUGUCACUGCCGUGGAAUAUUUCCUGAGGGCUGGCGUUGUUGGUCAAUCUUUUUUGAGGCAGUGUGGCUUUUCUGGAGUGUUGAUGGGGCUAACAGUGUUUCUUUGAAGCAAAGGAGGACUUCCUGAGGGCAGACAGGACUGGGAGGUCCACACCACGAUGGUAGCAGAUUUCACUUGGUCAUGCAGAGCUUGCUCUGGUGUUUUUAGGCUGUGGGGUUCUUGCAGGGGGUUGGCGGUGUUGGGCAGCUGCUCCUCAGGAGUGCAGCACCCCCUGGGGGCUGGAGCAGCUAUCUGGGUCACUGAGAACCUAAGAGGCUCUUCCCUAGGGCAGCCCAACUCAGAAGGACAGCCUGAGAAUGUAGGCGGAUCUUUUCACAGUCUGGCCGAGCUUGUUGCAGCUUUUCUGGGCUGCAGGGGCUCUUCUAGGGGGCUGGUGGUGCUGAGCAGCUAUUCCGUGGGAUGCACCCCCUGGGGGCUUGGGCGGGUAGCAGGGCUGUCGGAGACCCAAGAGGCUCCUCCCCAGGGCAGCCUGACUCAGAAAAACCAUCUGAGAUCUUUUCCCGACUCAACCAGGCUUGUUGCAGCUUU